UUGUACUGGCCAACCUAAUACAGUAAUAGGUCCUAUUCCUGCACAUCUCCAGGCCACAGCUUGAUCCGUUAACGAGGUUUAAUAUAAAGAUUUUCUUUGCUCUGAUUGGCUGAUAAUUCACUGCUGAGACAGAAUCCACUUCGAAUUGGAUGCGCAGUAAAAUAAUAGGGAUGUACUUAGGUAGUAAGAAAAGCGUGCAAGAGUAGGUCUCAUUACUGCAUAUACUUUAUAUGAAAACAAUGUUUGCCAGAAGGAUUUUCUGUGAUUCGAGUUUAAGGCCCAACAUUUUGCAAAGAAUGUGUUUUUACUCUUUUAGUAUCACUUCCUGUAAUUUUUAAAAGUUCUAUGCAAAUCAGAUACCUGAAGUGAAUAUUUGGGUUAAGCAUGCAAAUUAGAACAACUACAGGGCAGAUAAACAUGAGGUGGAAAUUGAAAAGCACAAAAAUGAGGAAAGAAAGUGGAGAAGUAAUAGAAAAACUAAAGAAAGGAACAGAGAAGUGCAACAACAACUAUAAUAUAAUAGGAUAAUAAACUCAAGAUUCAAUCAAAUGUAUAAGCUUUUAACAAAAUAC
Molecule: long non-coding RNA, 572 nt
Organism: Megalopta genalis
Lineage: Eukaryota; Metazoa; Arthropoda; Insecta; Hymenoptera; Halictidae
Source: RefSeq, a predicted model, not a curated record